This 390-nucleotide ribosomal RNA is filed under the name uncultured bacterium. Its description in RNAcentral is "bacterial SSU rRNA". It matches the Rfam family "Bacterial small subunit ribosomal RNA", at positions 29 to 420 of the family's 1533-position model. The record is from RNAcentral.
AUUGAACGCUGGCGGCAUGCCUUACACAUGCAAGUCGAACGGCAGCACGGGAGCAAUCCUGGUGGCGAGUGGCGAACGGGUGAGUAAUAUAUCGGAACGUGCCCGGUCGUGGGGAUAACGUAGCGAAAGCUACGCUAAUACCGCAUACGAUCUACGGAUGAAAGCGGGGGAUCGCAAGACCUCGCGCGAUUGGAGCGGCCGAUAUCAGAUUAGGUAGUUGGUGAGGUAAAGGGCUCACCAAGCCGACGAUCUGUAGCUGGUCUGAGAGGACGACCAGCCACACUGGGACUGAGACACGGCCCAGACUCCUACGGGAGGCAGCAGUGGGGAAUUUUGGACAAUGGGCGCAAGCCUGAUCCAGCAAUGCCGCGUGCAGGAUGAAGGCCUCGG